ACCUCAAAUCAGGUAGGACUACCCGCUGAACUUAAGCAUAUCAAUAAGCGGAGGAAAAGAAACUAACAAGGAUUCCCCUAGUAACUGCGAGUGAAGCGGGAAGAGCUCAAAUUUUGAAUCUGGCAGUCCUUGGCUGUCCGAGUUGUAAUCUAGAGAAGUGUUUUCYGCGCUGGACCGUGUAUAAGUCUCCUGGAAGGGAGCGUCAUAGAGGGUGAGAAUCCCGUCUUUGACAYGGACUACCAGUGCUAUGUGAUGCGCUCUCGACGAGUCGAGUUGUUUGGGAAUGCAGCUCAAAAYGGGUGGUAAACUCCAUCUAAAGCUAAAUACAGGCGAGAGACCGAUAGCGAACAAGUACCGUGAGGGAAAGAUGAAAAGAACUUUGGAAAGAGAGUUAAACAGUACGUGAAAUUGCUGAAAGGGAAACGCUUGAUGUCAGUCACGUUGGCUGGGGAUCAACCUUGCUUCUCGCUGGGUGUACUUCCCGGUCGACGGGUCAGCAUCAGUUUCAGUCGCUGUACAAGGGUGAGGGGAACGUGGCACUCCUCGGAGUGUGUUAUAGCCUUUCAUCGUAUGCAGUGGUCGGGACUGAGGAGCUCAGCACGGCUUCUUGCUUGUGCUCAGGAUGCUGGCAUAAUGGCCUUAAGCGACCCGU
RNAcentral lists this ribosomal RNA (652 nucleotides) under Butyriboletus persolidus. Its description in RNAcentral is "eukaryotic LSU rRNA". It matches the Rfam family "Eukaryotic large subunit ribosomal RNA", at positions 1 to 652 of the family's 3401-position model. Lineage: Eukaryota; Fungi; Basidiomycota; Agaricomycetes; Boletales; Boletaceae. The record is from RNAcentral.